This 5110-nucleotide long non-coding RNA is filed under the name Physcomitrium patens. RNAcentral's name for it is "long non-coding RNA (PPAT_LNC014045)". Lineage: Eukaryota; Viridiplantae; Streptophyta; Bryopsida; Funariales; Funariaceae. The record is from RNAcentral.
UUUGGUUUAGGAUUUGGUUAGGAUUUGGUUUAGGUUUUAGGAUUUGUAUUAGGGUUUGAUUUCGGAUUUAGGAUUUGGAUUAGGGUUUGGUUAGGAUUUGAUUUAAGAUUUAGGAUUUGGUUAAGAUUUGGUUUAGGAUUUAGGGUUUAGUUUAGGAUUUGAUUAGGGUUUUAUUUAAGAUUUAGGAUUUGGAUUAGGAUUUGGUUAGGAUUUGAUUUAGGGUUAGGAUUUGGUUUAGAAUUAUGUUAAGAUUUGGUUUAGGAUUUGGUUGGGAUUUGGUUUAAGGUUUGUUUAGGGUUUGAUUUAGGAUUUAGGAUUUUAUUAGGAUUUAAGAUUCAAUUAGUUUUGGCCUAAAGUUUGAAUGAAGAUUAAUAGGAUUUUAAUUAGAAUUAAAUUAAGAUUGAAUUGAGAUGUAUUUGAAUGAUAUUUAUAAUUCUUUUAAUAUUUCUUUAAGAAUUUCUAUUGUUUGUUUGAAAUUUCUUUGAUUUUUUUUUUUAAUUUGGUUAAGCUUGCUUAGUAUUAUUAUGGUCUAAUUAGAACAUUGUUAGUAUUCUAUUAGAAUUAGGAUUUUGUUAUUAUGAUUUCUAUUCUUCUUUCUACAGUUAGGUACUCGGAGCAUUCUCAAGCAAGACUUCACAUAUUAUGACAUAUUUGGUGAACCCGACAUGAAACACUUGAGGUGAGAGGAAUUUGGUUUUCUUGGAUUAUUUGAAUUUUAGAGAAGAAAGAUAAGAAAGUUGGAAGAAAUGCUUUGGGUGAUAUGUGAAUUCGAACUUUUGGAUUCUUGGAGCUUUGAAGAUUAUUUUAAAAUACAAUGACAAUAUUUGGAAUAUCAUAGAGUAUUAUAAGGCUUUAUAGAUAUGUUAGAGCAUUUUAAAGUAACAUAAGGUAUUUAUUGGAGCAUUUCAAAGAAUAUUUUUUAUCAUUGUAGAAUAAAAUAGAAGAUGUGUCAUCAAGGUUUUUGGAUAUGUCCAAUAUCAUAGAUGGAUCAAAUAUUAGUGAGUUUUUUAAGGCUUUUUAUAUAUUCAUGGAGGAGCAACAAAGAAUGCAAGCAAUUGAAAAAGUAUCACAAGGGCAUUGCAAGGAGUCAUCAACAAAUUUGGAAGGUUUGAAGGAUGCAACAUCACUAAGUUUUUACAAGUUUAUACAUGAGAGAUAGACACAUGCCAAAUCCCUGAGGCAAAGAUGAUUUCAAGCUUACAUUUGACUAUUGAACCUAGAUUUCAGAUAAAGGUGAAGGGAUUGCUUGAAGGGGGUAUAGAAACAUGGUCAAAAUUUCAAGAACUUUUGAAGAAAGAAUUUAUUGAUGGAUAUAAAGAUAGGAUUACCAAGCGAAAGUUUUUGAAUUGGAUAGAAUUUCAAUCAGGCAAGCAUAUGAAUCUUUAUGAAUUCUUGAAAGAAUUUCAUAAGAGAUUUUAUCAACUCUCAUCCUUAGAGAGACGAUCAUUGGGUGCUUUAAAGGUAGAUUUGUUUUUAAAUGGUCUUGAUCAUGCCUUGAGAGAUGAGGUUUUCAUGCUUCUUGAAGAUGAGUCUACGAAGAGUGAUUAUAUUAAUAAUUGAGAGAAGUUGAAGGAAUUAGUGGUUGUUUUAGCAAAUGAACAAGAAGCAAAAGCUAAAGAAGUUUUAAUAUGGUCUAAGAAAUCUUCUACUUUGGCUUCUAUGUCAUCUUUAUCAAUACAAGGGACUAAUCUUAAAAAAAGAGAAAUGAAAGAGCAAGUAGGGAAUUUUAAUAGAGAAGCCAAUUCUUUAGAGUUGAAAGAAAUUGGAUCUUAUACGAAGGGUGGUGAAGGAGAGAAGAAAGAUUCUUUUCAAACUAUUACUAUGGAAGGCUAAGGUAUUCAAAAAUUUGAAGGUAAUGCAAAGAUUAAAGAUUUGGAAACUAAUGACAAUGCGGUUGGAAGCUAUGGCUAUUCUAUAUUGAAUAAGUUUGUACAAGUUGGUGAUGGUAAUUUGGAUGAAAAAUCUCUUGGUGUUAAAAAGUUAUUUUCUAUAGUUGAAGGAGGUGAGGAUGUUUUGCCUAAUACUUUGGAUUAUGUUGAAGAAUUUAAGGUUGAACCUUUACAAAAAAUAGAUUAUGGAUCCAUUGAAGGUUAUAAUCAUGAAGAUUGUAUGAAUUCACAAUAUUAUGAUGUGAGAAGUGGUGGGAUUAUGCAUGGAUCUAAUGAUAAAAGUCAAAUUGUAUAUGGCUAUGAGACCACAUAUGAGUUAGGUGAAAGAAGUUAUGAGUUUUCACAUGAUUAUUAUAAAGAGGGUUAUGAGAUUGCACAAGGUUAUGAUACUAAAUGUGGUUGUGAAACCACAAAGGAUUAUUGUGAAAGUUAUGAGACUAUUCAAGAACAUGAGAUUUCGAAAGUACAUGAGAUUUUUCAAUAUUAUGAGGUUAUACAAUGCUUUGAAACAACAAAAGAUUAUGAUGUUUCACAAAGAUGCAUUCAAGAAGAUAUGAAGGAUGUUAUACAAGAUUAUGUGACAAAUGAAGAUUAUAGGACAAAAGAUAAGGAUGCUAAGUCAUUGACUAUGAUUGAGUUAAUUGUAAGCACUUCACUUUUGGACCAAGGUCAAAGUUACAUAAGUAAUGCACAUAUAAUGGAAACACAAAUGGAUUUUGACAAAGAUAAGAUUCAUCAUUAAGUAUGGAAUUCAAGGGUUAGAAAUUUAAAAAUCUUCAAAUAUAAAGAUAUGGAAAAUGGAUUUAAAGAUUACAUGGACAUCUUAAAUGGGACUUCGAAUCAAAAAAAUAAGAAAAAAGAUACAAGCAAGAUGUAUAUGGCUAUGUGGAAGAGGUUUCAAUUCAAUCUUUUCAUUUCAAAUUUUGUAAUUCGCCAAUGGUUUGGUCAUGUGCAAAGGAGGAUAUUUACAAACUACUUGCACAUAAAGAGUAAAUAGAAACAUUGGCAUUGAACUAUAUAUAUAUAUAUAUAUAUAUAUAUAUAUAUUGGAGAAGUAUCAUUGUAAAGCAAGACUAUGGAGGUAUAAAAAAGGAGGUACAUUUACAAGAUAUAAAUGCCUUUGAUUUAAGUUUUAUUUAAAAUAAAUAAAUAAAUAAAUAAAAAUGAUUGAGAAAGAAUUAUGUGAGUUAGGAAUAUUGGAAGAUGAUGAAAGAUUUUUGAUAUUUAUCAAGAAAAUGGAUUGGAAGAUUCUUGGAGAAAAUUACAUAUAUUGGAUUAAAAGAUGAUGACAAUGGAAGCAAGUGAAGAUAUUCAAAUAAAAGCAAACAUAAAUAAAUAUAGAAGACUUUGUCAAAGACAUAAAUCUUUUAAGACAACAAGAUGAUUUUGAUUUGAAUAGGGAUUAUAAAGAAGAAGAAUUGAAUAAGGACAUUGAAAAUAUUGUAUCAAUCAAACAAAGUUGGAUUAUUUGGUGCAUACCGGAGGAUGCACAAGUUCAGAGGAGGUAGAUGUGAUAUUAUAAUACGACUAUAUGGUGAAAGAUGAUAAUAUGGAUCUUAUUAUAGAAGAAUUAAGUUAAAAGAAAAGAUAGAAAAAUAUGGAUAAAAGAUAGGAAGGUAAUAAAACUUUUAGUAGUAAUGCUACUCUUUCAAAAAAAAUAGCUUCUACUUACUUUGUAGGGCCAAAAAUAAGGCAAAAUAAGAUAGAUUGGAAUAAUAAAUGACAUAAACAUCUUUAGGAAGAAUUUAAGAGUAAAUUCUAAUAAAAAUUACUUUAAAAAAACUAGAUAUUGAUACCCGGAGAGGGCUGGUUAUGAACUAGGGUCGAAAUCAGACCCUGAGGCACAAAACCAAGUCUCAACGACGAUUCUAGGAUUUUUUGGCAAAUUGGAGAGUGGUAUUUGAUAGAAGAUUAAAUAGGGUUUCUAUGGUCAUUCAUUUUGGAUGAUUUGGAGUUGUUAUGACUUUGUAAGAGCUUUGCAAAGUCAAGGUUUGUUUUGGAUGACUUGGGUUUUAUGAAAUAAAACAGGGUUUACGUUUUGGGUGAUUUCAAGAGUUUUGUAAUAGAUCUAUGGGUGAAAUUUUGUGUAUUUAUGGUUAUAGUUGUUUUUAAUAUUUAUUAUGAAUUUGAGCUCGAUCUCACGGUUGAAUUGAGGAAUAUUGAGGUUUAAGUAGGUCAAGGUCUCAAAAAGUAGAAUUUUAGGUCUAGUGGAGGUUUUUGAGAUUUCUUGCAAUCUACCAGUUGGAUUGGAGUGAAACUUAGGUGAGAGGAUAUUAGACUUGAUUUUCUAUGUGUAUAAGAAUUUUGAGAUCAAUCGAAUGGUGUAAAUGAGAGAUAUUGGCUCUAGAAGAUUGGCAUCAAGAUUGGAGAAGGAGGCCAGUCAAUAUCCAAGCACAUUUUUGAAGUUAUCGUCAAUUUGGUAACUCCGAUCCUUUUCAAUUUUUUUUUGCUUGUUUUGAACUUAUUGUUUUAGAAGUUUGCAAAAUUUGAGUUAAGAUCACCAGUUUAUUCAUUAGUUAUUGAGGUUUAAAUCUGUUGUAGGAAUUACUAGGAUUUGGUUUAGUAUUUGGUUAGGGUUUGGUUUAGGAUUUAGGAUUUGGUUAGAAUUUGGUUUAGGAUUUAGGAUUUGGAUUACGGUUUGGUUAGGGUUUGAUUUAGGAUUUAGGAUUUGAUUUAGGAUUUGAUUGGGAUUUGGUUUAGGAUUUGAUUAGGAUUUUAUUUAAGGUUUAGGAUUUUGUAAGGAUUUGGUUUAGAAUUUAUGAUUUGAUUUAGGAUUUGGUUAGGGCUUUAUUUAGAGUUUAGAAUUUGAUUUAGGAUUAGGAUUUGGUUUAGGAUUUGGUUGGAAUUUGGUUUAAGGUUUAUUUAGGAUUUGAUUUAGAGUUUACGAUUUAGUUGGGAUUUGAUUUAAGGUUUGUUUAGGAUUUAAUUUAGGAUUUAGGAUUUUAUUAAGAUUUAAGAUUUAAUUAGUUUUGGCCUAAAGUUUGAAUAAAGUUCAAUAGGAUUUUAACUACAAUUAAAUUAAGAUUGAAUUGAGAUGUAUUUGAGUAAUAUUUGUGAUCCUUCGAAUAUUUCUUUGAGAAUUCUUAUUGUUUGUUUGAAAUUUCUUUGAGGUUUUUUUUAAAUUUGAUUCAGCUUGUUUAACAUUAUUAUGGUCUAAUUAGAGCAUUGUUAGUAUUCUAUUAGAAUUAGGAUUUUGUUAUUGUAAUUUCCAUUCUUCCUUC